UACGUAGGGGGCAAGCGUUAUCCGGAAUUACUGGGUGUAAAGGGUGAGUAGGCGGCAUGGUAAGCCAGAUGUGAAAGCCUUGGGCUUAACCCGAGGAUUGCAUUUGGAACUAUCAAGCUAGAGUACAGGAGAGGAAAGCGGAAUUCCUAGUGUAGCGGUGAAAUGCGUAGAUAUUAGGAAGGACACCAGUGGCGAAGGCGGCUUUCUGGACUGAAACUGACGCUGAGGCACGAAAGCGUGGGGAGCGAACAGG
Molecule: ribosomal RNA, 253 nt
Filed under: uncultured bacterium
Lineage: Bacteria
Description: partial 16S ribosomal RNA
Rfam family: Bacterial small subunit ribosomal RNA
Source: RNAcentral